CAGUCGACGCUUCUUUUUCCACCGGAGCUUGCUCCACCGGAAAAAGAAGAGUGGCGAACGGGUGAGUAACACGUGGGUAGCCUGCCCAUCAGAAGGGGAUAACACUUGGAAACAGGUGCUAAUACCGUAUAACAAUCAAAACCGCAUGGUUUUGAUUUGAAAGGCGCUUUCGGGUGUCGCUGAUGGAUGGACCCGCGGUGCAUUAGCUAGUUGGUGAGGUAACGGCUCACCAAGGCCACGAUGCAUAGCCGACCUGAGAGGGUGAUCGGCCACAUUGGGACUGAGACACGGCCCAAACUCCUACGGGAGGCAGCAGUAGGGAAUCUUCGGCAAUGGACGAAAGUCUGACCGAGCAACGCCGCGUGAGUGAAGAAGGUUUUCGGAUCGUAAAACUCUGUUGUUAGAGAAGAACAAGGAUGAGAGUAACUGUUCAUCCCUUGACGGUAUCUAACCAGAAAGCCACGGCUAACUACGUGCCAGCAGCCGCGGUAAUACGUAGGUGGCAAGCGUUGUCCGGAUUUAUUGGGCGUAAAGCGAGCGCAGGCGGUUUCUUAAGUCUGAUGUGAAAGCCCCCGGCUCAACCGGGGAGGGUCAUUGGAAACUGGGAGACUUGAGUGCAGAAGAGGAGAGUGGAAUUCCAUGUGUAGCGGUGAAAUGCGUAGAUAUAUGGAGGAACACCAGUGGCGAAGGCGGCUCUCUGGUCUGUAACUGACGCUGAGGCUCGAAAGCGUGGGGAGCAAACA
Molecule: ribosomal RNA, 743 nt
Filed under: uncultured bacterium
Lineage: Bacteria
Description: bacterial SSU rRNA
Rfam family: Bacterial small subunit ribosomal RNA
Source: RNAcentral